This is a long non-coding RNA of Penaeus chinensis, 1366 nucleotides long. RefSeq lists it as uncharacterized. The transcript is spliced from 2 exons. The record is from RefSeq and is a predicted model, not a curated record. NCBI's taxonomy places the organism in Eukaryota, Metazoa, Arthropoda, Malacostraca, Decapoda, Penaeidae.
UCGCAUUUCCCUGGGUAAAUGCAAUAGGUACACCCAUUCAAAGGCGGAAAAUUCCUGUGCCCCUUCCCAGACGCAUCUUAUCGAUCGUGUCCCUUUUAUAUGAAUCCUGUUAUGCGCUUAUAUUCAAACUUUUAUCUUAUUCCGUCUAGUCUCAUAGCCCCUUAGAAAUACUUUAGAAUUUUCUUUUUUUCUUAAUUCUUAAAAUAUGUUGAUGCUUGAGGUAUAUUUUACAUCCAUUCAAUACUGACGUGGGGAAAUUCUCGUUUUCUAACUGCAGUAUCACUUAUAUUUGGGGGGCACUUGCACAUACUUAUUUUGGGAUUUUACACCACUAACCUUUCACAUUAAAGCAAAAUAUAUAUGGUAUGGUUAUGUGGGUAUGCUCUCGGUUCUAUGUAUAAUUUAAUAAUUUUAAUCAAGAGAAAAUAACGGAGUAUAAAUGAUACCUAAAUAAGAAUAACUGUCUGCGUGGAAAAUUCCUGUACAUACCACUCCUGUUCUAUAAAUAUAAUUAAAGAAAUCAUUUGUAUUUCAGUCUCUGACUCAUAUUUUAGUUCCAAUAAACGGAAAAGUUAUCGUAAAGUGCUGCAAUUCUUACACCAUAUGGCAACACCCCAUCAUGACGUCAUCUCUAUUCAUGAUCACGUGAUUCCGCUUUGGUCUCGCCUUUGGACGACGAUUUCCAUUUCUUAAAUUGUUUCAACGUAUUUUUUUCAAUAAAGUCUACAUCAAAUCAGUCCCUUAGAACACAUCUCAUAACCACCCGCAAUAUCCUGCAUGUGAGUGCAUGCGGAGGGUCACGUCUUCUAGAACAUUCGCCACUGCGCAAUACCCGUACCUAUUUAAACACACGGCGUGCUCCCAGUGACGCAUUUCGGCUCCAGGGGCGGACGGCGAAGCUACGCGACGUUCUUCAAGCAACACCAUAUAUACAUUCUUUAUUCGGAAAGUUCAUCCAUAGUGACUCUUAGGGAAUAGGAAUCGAAGCAGGAAUGGCGGAGAGCAAACGACAGCGUGCGAGUGAGAGGAAAGGAUGGAGAAAGGAAGAAGGGAACGAACACGUGGCGGGUGACGGCGCGGGGUGAAGCCAGCCGGACAGCCGGACACCCUGAGGGUUGCCAGAUGAACAUCUAUCACCUUUGUUAGAAACGGGUCCUCUUACCUGCCUUCCUGAUAGAUAAGUGUGGCUGACAUGUGGCAGGUGUUGCAAGGGUAGGAAAAUAUAUGCAACAUUUGCCCGUGUUGGGACAGGUAAAUCAGAAGAUCCUACUGUUAAUUACAUUGGCGAGUUUCCUUAUUUUUCUUCUCUUUAGCAUUCUUAAAUUGGAACACAGUAAAGUUAGUCUGUAUGAAUAAAACGGUUUCU